RNAcentral lists this non-coding RNA (206 nucleotides) under Paramoeba aestuarina. The record is from RNAcentral. Lineage: Eukaryota; Discosea; Flabellinia; Dactylopodida; Paramoebidae.
AAGGUUUUUGUUAAACAAGCUCCCACACAAAACGGAAGGGCUAUUACGACCACUCUUUCUCCCUCUAUCACCAUUGGUGAAUUGAGAAAAAGAAUUGAGAAGGUAAAAGACAUCACAAAGGACGAGGACUUUUGGCUUUUUCUUCAAUCUCAGGAUCCAUUGACAGAAUCAGAGAGCUUGGAACCUGCUUUUAAUGUUGUUUAUCU